RNAcentral lists this long non-coding RNA (1574 nucleotides) under Homo sapiens (human). Its description in RNAcentral is "HSALNT0306079". The record is from RNAcentral. Lineage: Eukaryota; Metazoa; Chordata; Mammalia; Primates; Hominidae.
CAAACCCCUAUCUAGUUAGUGUGCUUCUUAGAAUACAAAUAGAAUUACAAAAUGUUUCAGUAAUCAAAAAGGGACAGCAUCGGCAAACAGUUGACAUCAAAAUUGUCUGCUCAUCAAAGAGGAAUGACAGAUCCUCCUUCAUCAACAUGUUUUCCUUAGGAAUGGUGCCAGGAUGCAGGGCAUAAGUGAGAGGACAGUUCCCUUGGUUAUGAGGUAACUAAAAAUAGCCACCUUUGAAAGCCAUCAGAGGUCACUUGUUUUGAAGAAAAUCAUCAGAAGAACUUUGAACUAUAAGAUAUUGACUAUUAAAUCAUGUUAUUUUCUUCAUUUGUCAAAGUUAUUGGGAUGUAGCAAAUACUUGAGACUUUGAAUUGAGUAGAUUUUGAGUAGAUUUAUGAAUGAAAUCAAAGGACACACAAAAACAGUGUAAUUCACCCAUCUGGAGACUCCACGUAUGAGUUUGAAAACUUUUAGUAUGUAUGCCAAUUAGUCCAUCCAGCCAAAUAGGCACAACAAUUUUCCGAUAAUAAGAAAAAUAAGACCAAGAAGCUAGCUGGAAUACUAAGAAAAACAACAGAGGGAGUUAAAUUCUUCAUUAAAAUUGACCACUUCUAGAGGCCUUGCAGGAAAUAUUAAAAUAAGUUCUUCAAUGAGAAUGAAAAUGAUAUAGGUCAGAAACUUGGAUCUGCAUGAAGAUACACCUUAAAAAAGGAAGAGCAUCAGAAAAAUGAAUAAGUGAAGGUCAAGUGCUGUGCUGUACUGAUUGAUAGAUUGUCUCCAGCAGGAAGUUUGACAAUGGACAACCUAGAAGCAGAUGUGCCUGAUAAAUGUAAAUGGUAGCUUCUUUGUGGCCCUUCCACCAGAAGUGAAGAAGCCUGGUGCAGAGCUUCUACUUGACCUAUGAUAGAUAUGCUGCUGGAGAAGAAAUCAACCUCCUGCCUGAGGACCUCAACAGAUGCACCUGCCCAAUCUUAAACUUUCCAGCAAUCUGAAUUGUGAGCCAAAUAAUUUUUUUAUAAAUUAUCCAGCUUCAAGUAUUAUACCAACAAAAAAAAGGAAAUGCAAUGAGUCAAUAUACUUACUGAGAUUGCAGAAGAGACUGAACACUGCGCUAGGCUCUGAAGAGAAAGAUGAAAAAGAAGAAAGUGCUCCUGAGUAUAUGACUACUUGUACUUGCUAGCACUGAGGCAAGUACAAACUCUAGGCAUCAGGCUUUUGGUCUCACUCUUAGCGAAUUUGAACACUGGCUUUUUUGUUGGGCUUCCAUUCUUCUCUCAGCGCAAGAAUACCAACGUUUAUGACCCAGGAAGCACCAACUUAUACUUCACAGAGCUAAGAAACAGCAUUUCGCCAUGUCACGCAGGCUGGUCUUCAACUCCUGGACUCAAGCUAUCCACGGGCCUCGGCCUCCCAAAGUGCUAGGAUUACAGGCAUGAGCCACUAUGUCCGGCUUGGAGUUUUUAGUCUCAUCAAACCAACUCACCCAAAUGUCCCUUGGUGACAAAAAGUUUUCUGAAAGAUUAAGUAAUCUUUGUUUCCCAAGCCUGACAAAAUAAAAAGUUUUCUGUCUCUCU